RNAcentral lists this long non-coding RNA (203 nucleotides) under Capsicum annuum. RNAcentral's name for it is "long non-coding RNA (CANN_LNC017190)". Lineage: Eukaryota; Viridiplantae; Streptophyta; Magnoliopsida; Solanales; Solanaceae. The record is from RNAcentral.
CUUCUUUAUCACCUUUACCUUUGGUGAAUCAUGCAUACUUUUUGCUGAUCAAAGAUGAAAAACUGAGAUAGUUGCAGAUGUCUCAUCAUCUAGGAGAGAGUGCUUUCCAAGAAAGUAAGCCCAACUAUGGAAAGUACUUAUAUGGAGGCAAAAUUCUUGACAUACAUCUUAUGAGGGACAAAAGUCUUCACCGAAAAAGGGGG